GCCGGGCAUGGUGGUGCACACCUGUAAUCCUGGCAGCUUGGGAGGCUGAGGCGGAAGGAUCACGAGUUCAAAGGCAACCUCAGCAACAGUGAGGUGCUUAGAAACUCAGUGAGACCCUGUCUCUA
This 125-nucleotide small RNA is filed under the name Marmota monax (woodchuck). Lineage: Eukaryota; Metazoa; Chordata; Mammalia; Rodentia; Sciuridae. The record is from RNAcentral.